UAGGGAAUCUUCGGCAAUGGACGAAAGUCUGACCGAGCAACGCCGCGUGAGUGAAGAAGGUUUUCGGAUCGUAAAACUCUGUUGUUAGAGAAGAACAAGGACGUUAGUAACUGAACGUCCCCUGACGGUAUCUAACCAGAAAGCCACGGCUAACUACGUGCCAGCAGCCGCGGUAAUACGCAGGUGGCAAGCGUUGUCCGGCUUUAUUGGGCGUAAAGCGAGCGCAGGCGGUUUCUUAAGUCUGAUGUGAAAGCCCCCGGCUCAACCGGGGAGGGUCAUUGGAAACUGGGAGACUUGAGUGCAGAAGAGGAGAGUGGAGUUCCAUGUGUAGCGGUGAAAUGCGUAGAUAGAUGGAGGAACGCCAGUGGCUGAGGCGGCUCUCUGGUCUGUAACUGACGCUGAGGCUAGAAAGCGUGGGGGGCAAACAGG
Molecule: ribosomal RNA, 429 nt
Filed under: Gemmatimonadota bacterium
Lineage: Bacteria; Pseudomonadati; Gemmatimonadota
Description: Gemmatimonadetes bacterium partial 16S ribosomal RNA
Rfam family: Bacterial small subunit ribosomal RNA
Source: RNAcentral